AGAGUUUGAUCAUGGCUCAGGACGAACGCUGGCGGCGUGCUUAACACAUGCAAGUCGAACGAGGUACUUCGGUGCCUAGUGGCGAACGGGUGAGUAACACGUGAGCAACCUGCCCUUGGCUCUGGGAUAGCCUCCGGAAACGGGGAUUAAUACCGGACAUGACCUUCUCCUGCAUGGGAGGGGGUGGAAAGUUUUUCGGC
RNAcentral lists this ribosomal RNA (200 nucleotides) under uncultured bacterium. Its description in RNAcentral is "partial 16S ribosomal RNA". It matches the Rfam family "Bacterial small subunit ribosomal RNA", at positions 8 to 219 of the family's 1533-position model. The record is from RNAcentral.